Molecule: small nuclear RNA, 107 nt
Organism: Dipodomys ordii (Ord's kangaroo rat)
Lineage: Eukaryota; Metazoa; Chordata; Mammalia; Rodentia; Heteromyidae
Source: Ensembl
GUGCUCACUUUGGCAGCACAUGUACUAAAACUAGAAUGAUACAAAGAAAACUGGCAUGGCCCAUGUGCAAGGUUGAUUCACAAAGUCAUGAAUCCUUCCUUACUUUU